Molecule: ribosomal RNA, 465 nt
Filed under: uncultured bacterium
Lineage: Bacteria
Description: SSU rRNA
Rfam family: Bacterial small subunit ribosomal RNA
Source: RNAcentral
AGAAUCAACGCUGGCGGCGUGCCUAACACAUGCAAGUCGAACGAGAAAGGGACUUCGGUCCUGAGUAUAGUGGCGCACGGGUGAGUAACACGUGAAUAAUCUACCUCCGAGUGGGGAAUAACCUGGAGAAAUCUAGGCUAAUACCGCAUAACACUUACGAGUCAAAGCAGCAAUGCGCUUGGAGAGGAGUUCGCGGCAGAUUAGUUAGUUGGCGGGGUAAUGGCCCACCAAGACGAUGAUCUGUAUCCGGCCUGAGAGGGCGCACGGACACACUGGAACUGAAACACGGUCCAGACUCCUACGGGAGGCAGCAGUGGGGAAUUUUGCGCAAUGGGGGAAACCCUGACGCAGCAACGCCGCGUGGAGGAUGAAGUAUCUUGGUACGUAAACUCCUUUCGAUGGGGAAGAUAAUGACGGUACCCAUAGAAGAAGCCCGGCUAACUUCGUGCCAGCAGCCGCGGUAAU